GGGGUAAAGGCUCACCAAGGCAACGAUCAGUAGCGGGUCUGAGAGGAUGAUCCGCCACACUGGGACUGAGACACGGCCCAGACUCCUACGGGAGGCAGCAGUGGGGAAUUUUGGACAAUGGGCGCAAGCCUGAUCCAGCCAUGCCGCGUGUCUGAAGAAGGCCUUCGGGUUGUAAAGGACUUUUGUCCGGGAGCAAAUCCCAGUGGUUAAUACCUACUGGGGCUGAGAGUACCGGAAGAAUAAGCACCGGCUAACUACGUGCCAGCAGCCGCGGUAAUACGUAGGGUGCAAGCGUUAAUCGGAAUUACUGGGCGUAAAGCGUGCGCAGGCGGUUGUGCAAGUCUGAUGUGAAAGCCCCGGGCUUAACCUGGGAACGGCAUUGGAGACUGCACGACUAGAGUGCGUCAGAGGGGGGUAGAAUUCCGCGUGUAGCAGUGAAAUGCGUAGAGAUGCGGAGGAUACCGAUGGCGAAGGCAGCCCCCUGGGAUGACACUGACGCUCAUGCACGAAAGCGUGGGGAGCAAACAGGAUUAG
This 534-nucleotide ribosomal RNA is filed under the name Chromobacterium haemolyticum. RNAcentral's name for it is "bacterial SSU rRNA". It matches the Rfam family "Bacterial small subunit ribosomal RNA", at positions 254 to 781 of the family's 1533-position model. The record is from RNAcentral. Lineage: Bacteria; Pseudomonadati; Pseudomonadota; Betaproteobacteria; Neisseriales; Chromobacteriaceae.